UACGAAGGGGGCUAGCGUUGCUCGGAAUUACUGGGCGUAAAGGGCGCGUAGGCGGCUUAACAAGUUAGGUGUGAAAGCCCCGGGCUCAACCCGGGAAUUGCACUUAAGACUGUUUCGCUUGGGUAUGGGAGAGGAAAGUGGAAUUCCUAGUGUAGAGGUGAAAUUCGUAGAUAUUAGGAGGAACACCAGUGGCGAAGGCGACUUUCUGGACCAUUACCGACGCUGAGGCGCGAAAGCAUGGGGAGCAAACAGG
Molecule: ribosomal RNA, 253 nt
Filed under: uncultured bacterium
Lineage: Bacteria
Description: partial 16S ribosomal RNA
Rfam family: Bacterial small subunit ribosomal RNA
Source: RNAcentral